UUAAAAAAAUAAGUGGAAUCACUUUUUAUGUUCUCCCAUCUUCGAGUCAUCGUCGGCAUUUCUGGGGAGACAUUGAUUGACAUAUAGAAUCCCAUUGUUGUAUUUCGUUCAAUGGCAGCUUGAAUACAAUGUUGACACAGUAGGUACAUCCCAUACACUAAAACACUCCCCCACCCCAACACAAUGUUGACACAGUAGGUACAUCCCAUACACUAAAACACUCCCCCACCCCAACACAAUGUUGACACAGUAGGUACAUCCCAUACACUAAAACACUCCCCCACCCCAACACAAUGUUGACACAGUAGGUACAUCCCAUACACUAAAACACUCCCCCACCCCAACACAAUGUUGACACAGUAGGUACAUCCCAUACACUAAAACACUCCCCCACCCCAACACAAUGUUGACACAGUAGGUACAUCCCAUACACUAAAACACUCCCCCACCCCCCC
Long non-coding RNA from Oncorhynchus keta (chum salmon), 455 nucleotides. RefSeq lists it as uncharacterized. Lineage: Eukaryota; Metazoa; Chordata; Actinopteri; Salmoniformes; Salmonidae. The record is from RefSeq and is a predicted model, not a curated record. The transcript is spliced from 6 exons.